Molecule: ribosomal RNA, 449 nt
Filed under: uncultured bacterium
Lineage: Bacteria
Description: partial 16S ribosomal RNA
Rfam family: Bacterial small subunit ribosomal RNA
Source: RNAcentral
GUGGGGAAUUUUGGACAAUGGGCGAAAGCCUGAUCCAGCCAUGCCGCGUGCAGGAUGAAGGCCUUCGGGUUGUAAACUGCUUUUGUACGGAACGAAAAGACUCUGGUUAAUACCUGGGGUCCAUGACGGUACCGUAAGAAUAAGCACCGGCUAACUACGUGCCAGCAGCCGCGGUAAUACGUAGGGUGCAAGCGUUAAUCGGAAUUACUGGGCGUAAAGCGUGCGCAGGCGGUUAUAUAAGACAGAUGUGAAAUCCCCGGGCUCAACCUGGGAACUGCAUUUGUGACUGUAUAGAUAGAGUACGGCAGAGGGGGAUGGAAUUCCGCGUGUAGCAGUGAAAUGCGUAGAUAUGCGGAGGAACACCGAUGGCGAAGGCAAUCCCCUGGGCCUGUACUGACGCUCAUGCACGAAAGCGUGGGGAGCAAACAGGAUUAGAAACCCUGUAGUCC